GGUUUGCGAAUUUGUUUUUCGUUCUGGGAGAUUUGAAGACAUGGAAUGAUUUUUUCAUGUUCUGACAUGUUUGUAUCAGAUUUUGUUCAUUUUAUUUAAAUAAUUAGAGUAUACAUUAUUUGAGCAAGCUCUUUUUAAUGUCUUUGAAUUUAGAAAAUUAUGUUACAAAUUAAACUAUUAAUUUUUUGUUGAUGUUGUUGAGUAUUGGUU
RNAcentral lists this long non-coding RNA (210 nucleotides) under Vigna radiata. Its description in RNAcentral is "long non-coding RNA (VRAD_LNC005307)". The record is from RNAcentral. Lineage: Eukaryota; Viridiplantae; Streptophyta; Magnoliopsida; Fabales; Fabaceae.